AGUAAGACAAAGGAUGAUGAAUAAUGAAGGGACGGGGGAUUACAAGGGCAAGAUGGAAAUUCAGGUGAUCGUGAAGUCAAUGGUGGUGAAUGAAAGAACAAGGAUACGCUUUAAACUGGGAUUCAUCAUAGGGUCACAAAAUUAAAUGGCUAUAUGAGUUAGCCAGGCAAUGAAAAUCAGUGAAAUGGUCCAGAUGGAAGACGACAAUGAGCAAUGUGGCCUGGAAAUCAGAUGGCCAGAAGAGAGGUGGCAGCUCCACCUUGAACCCCUGUGAGUACUGAUGUAUGCAAUGUGCAUCCAAACUUUUCCUGAUUUUUAAGAGAAGUCAGAAUUUUGAAUGCCGAUAUAAAGUCUGUUUGCAUAUAAAUCCAGGAAACCAAGGCAAUCGAAUUUUUGAAGAAUACAGCAGGAAGGGUCAUAAUCAUCUGCAGUUUUCAUCUGGAUCACCAGCUGUCAUUCUGCGUAUCCUACUUACCUCAAGGGGCAACUUCAGUCUUGAAAACAGAACAUCAUAAGAUGUUGGUGCCACUUGAUCCAACUGGAAAAUACCAGCAUUUACAUUUUUAUUUUACAGAUGCAGAAAGCAAUAUUUAACUGACUGGCUGUCACUCACAUCAUGAAUCAGAAGCAGCCUUAAAAGAAUGGAUCCCUUCUUGCUAUUUAAAAAUAUAAUCUUGGAUCUAAUGAUUGAAAUUACAUGUUUGGAUCAUUGAGGAAUAAUGAAAUACUUUGGACUUGAGCUAUGUGGGUAAAUGAUUGAAUGACGCAAAGGAACUUUGGUUGUGGAGUCUGUGUACAGAGACAGCGCAGGGAAUGUCCAGUAAUACUAUUGUUACCUUAGAUUCUACAUUAUGCAUUGAAAUAAUCAUGGUUCCAUGGUUGUAUUUAGUAAGUCACUUUAGAAAGCAACAGUUUUGAAAUAAGAAGCUCUGGAAAUGCCAGGCUAGAGCUUUGUUGUGGCCACUAGGUACAGGGGACAGGAAGGAAGGAAAAGUGAACAGAAAGAGUGGAGGAAACACCACAUGUGGCACAGUUCCGGAAGUCCCUAUGCUUGCCCUUGGGUAGAGGUGGCAUCUACCACUACUAACCCUUUUUUGGCUCUUCUGUUUCCUCUGAUUUUUAUAAAAUCAGCCUGAUAUAUUACUUCAUAACAGAGUUAUGAAAAAAGAUCUUUGGAAUCUCAACCUUUGAAGCUCUACCCUCCCUUUACUCUAAAGACUUGUGCGUUCCAUAGCAUCAAGAUGACUGAAGCAGCUCCAUGCAUACAAUCCUCAUGCAAUAGUUUUCAAAAACCAGAAUAGAGAAGGAGAGUCAUGGGUCAUCACUUCCUUAAGACAAAAAUGUGAAUCUCUGCUGUAUUAUGGUGCUUUAAAAUGGAAAUAAGAAGCCACUUUUCAGAAAAUCUUACCUUCUGUCAAUCCUGGUUGCACACCAGAAUGAAAUCUGGACAAUUAUAACAUCCACUGAAAUCAAGACAGCUUUCAUUCUGUUAUUCAUUUUG
Cebus imitator (Panamanian white-faced capuchin) is the source of this 1501-nucleotide long non-coding RNA. RefSeq lists it as uncharacterized. NCBI's taxonomy places the organism in Eukaryota, Metazoa, Chordata, Mammalia, Primates, Cebidae. The transcript is spliced from 5 exons. The record is from RefSeq and is a predicted model, not a curated record.